CUUUACCUGGUAAAAAAGCCGCCUGGCCUUUGCUUGUCGCCGGGUUUCUAGAGGGGACGUCUGGCUUUAGCCGAAGGAAGUUUGAAGCAAAAACAGGUUUGGGAAGCCCUUAGAAGUUUUGGGCCGCCAGGCGGGUACCAUGACAGAACCAGCGAGUUUUUUUCCUUGGCCGGAAGGUCUGGGUAAUCUUGUGAAACUCUGUCGUGCUGGGGAUAGAGCAUUGCAAUUAUUGCUCUUCAACGAGGAAUUCCUAGUAAGCGUGAGUCAUCAGCUCGCGUUGAUUACGUCCCUGCCCCUUUG
Molecule: ribosomal RNA, 300 nt
Filed under: uncultured fungus
Lineage: Eukaryota; Fungi
Description: bacterial SSU rRNA
Rfam family: Eukaryotic small subunit ribosomal RNA
Source: RNAcentral